GCCGGCGUGGCGAGCUCUGCGGGGCGGAGGCCGGCUCCGCUUGCCCGCAGCGCGGAAGGGGCGGCAGGUGGGGAGAGGAAGGAGGAACGGAGGGCUGUGGUGUGCCACGUACCCUCCCAGCAGUUUCUCCAUCCAGUAGGUUAGGUGGCCACAUUGCCUGGAGGAGUGGCAGAUGCUGUCCUUUCUCAGCACCACUGCUCAUAUCCUGGAGAUCACACCUGGAGAGCUCCAUGCCACUCGCAGGACAAUAAGCUAGUCUUGAAAGACUGAAAACCCUAGAAGAGUGGCAGGCCUGGCUCCCCAUCCAUGGGGAAGUGU
Molecule: long non-coding RNA, 318 nt
Filed under: Apteryx rowi (Okarito brown kiwi)
Lineage: Eukaryota; Metazoa; Chordata; Aves; Apterygiformes; Apterygidae
Description: lncRNA (ENSARWG00000015312.1)
Source: RNAcentral